Molecule: ribosomal RNA, 449 nt
Filed under: uncultured bacterium
Lineage: Bacteria
Description: bacterial SSU rRNA
Rfam family: Bacterial small subunit ribosomal RNA
Source: RNAcentral
UCGAGAAUCAUUCGCAAUGGGCGAAAGCCUGACGAUGCGACGCCGUGUGAGUGAAGAAGGCCUUCGGGUCGUAAAGCUCUUUCGCUUGGGAAUAAGAGAAGCAGGCUAAUAUCCUGUGGAUUUGAACGUACCAGGUAAAGAAGCACCGGCUAACUCCGUGCCAGCAGCUGCGGUAAUACGGAGGGUGCAAGCAUUAAUCGGAUUUAUUGGGCGUAAAGGGCGCGUAGGCGGGGAUGUAAGUCAGAUGUGAAAUCCCGGGGCUCAACCUCGGAACAGCAUUUGAAACUACAUUUCUUGAGGGUAGAAGGAGAAAACGGAAUUCCACAAGUAGCGGUGAAAUGCGUAGAUAUGUGGAAGAACACCGGUGGCGAAGGCGGUUUUCUAUUUUACUCCUGACGCUGAUGCGCGAAAGCAAGGGGAUCAAACAGGAUUAGAUACCCCUGUAGUCC